CACGUAGGGGACGAGCGUUGUCCGGAAUCAUUGGGCGUAAAGCGCGCGUAGGCGGCCCUGUAAGUCCGUUGUGAAAGUCAAAGGCUCAACCUUUGAAAGCCGAUGGAUACUGCAGGGCUAGAGUCCGGAAGAGGCGAGUGGAAUUCCUGGUGUAGCGGUGGAAUGCGCAGAUAUCAGGAGGAACACCAAUAGCGAAGGCAGCUCGCUGGGACGGUACUGACGCUGAGGCGCGAAAGCGUGGGGAGCGAACAGG
This 253-nucleotide ribosomal RNA is filed under the name uncultured bacterium. Its description in RNAcentral is "partial 16S ribosomal RNA". It matches the Rfam family "Bacterial small subunit ribosomal RNA", at positions 524 to 776 of the family's 1533-position model. The record is from RNAcentral.